This 496-nucleotide ribosomal RNA is filed under the name uncultured bacterium. RNAcentral's name for it is "partial 16S ribosomal RNA". It matches the Rfam family "Bacterial small subunit ribosomal RNA", at positions 29 to 507 of the family's 1533-position model. The record is from RNAcentral.
AUGAACGCUGGCGGCGUGCCUCAUACAUGCCAGUCGAGCGAACGGACGAGAAGCUUGCUUUUCUGAUGUUAGCGGCGGACGGGUGAGUAACACGUGGAUAACCUACCUAUAAGACUGGGAUAACUUCGGGAAACCGGAGCUAAUACCGGAUAAUAUUUUGAACCGCAUGGUUCAAAAGUGAAAGACGGUCUUGCUGUCACUUAUAGAUGGAUCCGCGCUGCAUUAGCUAGUUGGUAAGGUAACGGCUUACCAAGGCAACGAUGCAUAGCCGACCUGAGAGGGUGAUCGGCCACACUGGAACUGAGACACGGUCCAGACUCCUACGGGAGGCAGCAGUAGGGAAUCUUCCGCAAUGGGCGAAAGCCUGACGGAGCAACGCCGCGUGAGUGAUGAAGGUCUUCGGAUCGUAAAACUCUGUUAUUAGGGAAGAACAUAUGUGUAAGUAACUGUGAACAUCUUGACGGUACCUAAUCAGAAAGCCACGGCUAACUACGUG